CUUACCUGGACUGUGAUUUACCUGGACUGUGAGUUAAUCUAUCUUUGCAAAUGGUGUCAUUGCUGGUAAAAUUUUUCCAAGGGCUUCUUACAUGGAGCCAUGGAAUGGCUUGGUAUUGUGACAUUUUGUAUCCUUCCUUUCUGUUUGUAACAGGUUAUUUAUGGUGUUUUUGUAAAAACCACUAUGGUCGUUAUUUAAAUUAAACAAAAGGGGGAAAUGUUAGAGUCUGUAAACAAGUCAAAAUAACACCUGGCAUUUUGCCAGGGGAAUGUUAGAGUUCGUAAACAAGUCUGGAUGGUGCCUGGCAAAAUGCCAGAGGGAGUGGUUUGAGAAGUAA
Molecule: long non-coding RNA, 337 nt
Filed under: Marmota monax (woodchuck)
Lineage: Eukaryota; Metazoa; Chordata; Mammalia; Rodentia; Sciuridae
Source: RNAcentral